CUGCAGCGUACCCUGUUACACAAGAUCAGGAGCACGUCUAUUAUACCAUUAAUGACAACACACCAACCUCACAACCUGCAGGUGACCAACAAAGGACAAAGGAACCCAUCUACUACCUGGCAACUCAUCCAGGAGUCCAGAUCACAGAUACCCAGCAGAGCGUGUAUGAGGCCAUAUAACAACCCCAUAAC
Molecule: long non-coding RNA, 191 nt
Organism: Colossoma macropomum (tambaqui)
Lineage: Eukaryota; Metazoa; Chordata; Actinopteri; Characiformes; Serrasalmidae
Exons: 3
Source: RefSeq, a predicted model, not a curated record